RNAcentral lists this ribosomal RNA (252 nucleotides) under uncultured bacterium. Its description in RNAcentral is "partial 16S ribosomal RNA". It matches the Rfam family "Bacterial small subunit ribosomal RNA", at positions 524 to 776 of the family's 1533-position model. The record is from RNAcentral.
UACGAAGGGGGCUAGCGUUGUUCGGAAUACUGGGCGUAAAGCGCACGUAGGCGGAUAUUUAAGUCAGGGGUGAAAUCCUGGAGCUCAACUCCAGAACUGCCUUUGAUACUGGCAACCUAGAGGCUGGAAGAGGUUAGUGGAAUUCCCAGUGUAGAGGUGAAAUUCGUAGAUAUUGGGAAGAACACCAGUAGCGAAGGCGGCUAACUGGUCCAGAUCUGACGCUGAGGUGCGAAAGCGUGGGGAGCAAACAGG